RNAcentral lists this microRNA (22 nucleotides) under Oreochromis niloticus (Nile tilapia). RNAcentral describes it as "oni-miR-10819". Lineage: Eukaryota; Metazoa; Chordata; Actinopteri; Cichliformes; Cichlidae. The record is from miRBase by way of RNAcentral.
UCCUCCUAUUGGUCAAACUGCG